Tupaia belangeri chinensis (Chinese tree shrew) is the source of this 259-nucleotide long non-coding RNA. RefSeq lists it as uncharacterized. The transcript has 3 exons. The record is from RefSeq and is a predicted model, not a curated record. NCBI's taxonomy places the organism in Eukaryota, Metazoa, Chordata, Mammalia, Scandentia, Tupaiidae.
GCUCCGUCGGCUUUUCUGACUGCGCUGGGAACCGCAGCGACAUCGGGAGUCCGUUGCUCCGGGUUUUCGCGGUGGCUCGAAGCUGAAACUCUGGGACCAGCAGAUGACAUAACAAUACGUCACUGGACCCCUGCAUGGCCGAGUCCUAGCCUGAUGGCUUGAAACACACAGAGUGUGUGUGGCAAGCGCACAUGCCCCAAGACAACAACCUCGUAAGAAAAAAAGAAAGAAAAAAAAAGUUGAAACUCAGAACAGCUUC